UACGUAGGGUGCGAGCGUUAAUCGGAAUUACUGGGCGUAAAGAGCUCGUAGGCGGCUCAGUAAGUCGGGUGUGAAACCUCCAGGCUCAACCUGGAGACGCCACCUGAUACUGCUGUGGCUAGAGUCCGGUAGGGGAGCGUGGAAUUCCUGGUGUAGCGGUGAAAUGCGCAGAUAUCAGGAGGAACACCAGCGGCGAAGGCGGCGCUCUGGGCCGGAACUGACGCUGAGGCGCGAAAGCGUGGGGAGCGAACAGG
This 254-nucleotide ribosomal RNA is filed under the name uncultured bacterium. Its description in RNAcentral is "partial 16S ribosomal RNA". It matches the Rfam family "Bacterial small subunit ribosomal RNA", at positions 524 to 776 of the family's 1533-position model. The record is from RNAcentral.